RNAcentral lists this long non-coding RNA (2194 nucleotides) under Homo sapiens (human). RNAcentral's name for it is "LOXL1 antisense RNA 1, transcript variant 4 (LOXL1-AS1)". The record is from RNAcentral. Lineage: Eukaryota; Metazoa; Chordata; Mammalia; Primates; Hominidae.
GAAAUGAGGGAGAAGGUGGAUGAGGGGCUCCUUCCUUUUGUCCUCAGAUGACCCAAGCCAAGUGCAGAAGGCGAGCCUCCUCCCAAAGCUCGGCUAGUCCCUCCACCAAAGCCAGGAUCAGAGCCCACACCUGCCUGGCCAACCCCUGGCACUGAUGAUGCCUGGGUGCGGGUUAAGCUGGGAGGAGCUCCUGCCUGCCUGGAUGAAGAGGAGGUCAAGACUUUGUCCCCCACUCCGCAAGAUACCCUCUCUGUUCCGGAGCGGUGAGACAGGAUUUCACCAUGUUAGCCAGGAUGGUCUUGAUCUCCUGACCUCAUGAUCUGCCCACCUCGGCCUCCCAAAGUGCUGGGCUUACAGGCGUGAGCCACCGUGCCCGGCCAAAAAUAACUUUUAAAAACAUGAGUAUAGCAUACACACACACAAAAGUCCACAAAUCCUAGGUGUACCACUUGAUGAAUGAUCCCAACGUGAGCACACCUCUGGAUUACCACCUGGAUCAAGAAAUAGGACAUCACAGCAGCUGGCAGCUUCCAAGGAGAAGCUCUGGAAAGUUCUGCCUGUCUCAGCACCUGGCUGGAUCGGAAACGAGUUUUCUUUAACCAGAUUUUUAAUGACUGACUUAUGUGGACAAAUCAUAACUGAAUGAAUCACCUCCUUUGUUGAUUUUUUUGGGUACUUUAUUUGCUAUUAUAAAUGAUGCUGUAAUAAGCACCCUUGAAGAAAUCUUCAUAUCUGCCUCUCCUGUGUAGCAGGUCACAGUGCCUGGGUUUGGUUCUAGCCCUCAUUUGUGAACUGUGUGACUCACCAUGCCUUUUUUCUUUCUGUAAGACAGGAAUAAUGGUAAGAAUUUAAAUGGGGGUAAUAUGGAGCGCGUUUAGUUCAGAGCCUGGUGCAUACAAGCACUCAAUAAGUACUGGCGAUUAUUAGACCUUUAGAUUAAUUUAUUAGAAGUUGGAUUUCUGGUGAAAGGGUUUGAGUGUUUUUGAGGCUUUGGCACAGAAUACCCAGCUGGUCCCAGAAAGGUGGUUCCCAUUUACCUGCCCGAAGGUAAUUCACCCUUACUGAUACUGAGUACUGUUUUCUAAAAGAACAUUAAAAAUUGGAUAGGUUAAAAACAGGUGAAUACAUUUUUUUAGUUGCAUUUUUUUGGUUACCCGUGAGAGUGAACAUGUUGCCAUGUGUUUGCUGACCUCCUAAAUGGUCUAUUUGCUCCUACCUUUGUACCCCAAAAGUCUGCUCUCAAGAUGGUAGCCAGAAUGAUCCUUUUUGAGACAUAAGUCAAAAUUUCACUCUUCUCCUUAAAGCUCUGCAAUGGUUCUCAGGUUAAAAGCCAAAGUCCUGUUCAAGGCCUCCAGGGUCCUCACCACUUGGUCCCUUGCUCUUUCUGUUCUAGCCAACUUGGCCUUCUCCUGCCCCUCCGCCGCACCAUGGCAAUUUCCCCUGCUCUGUGUGGUCAACUACCUGAAUCUGUUCAAAGCUUUGCUCAAAUGUCUCCUUCCUGAUGAGACCUCCCCAGCCCCUGAGCUCCCCAUGCCUCACUCCUGAUCGCCUUACUUAACCCUUCUUUUUCUUUUUUGCCAGUAGUACUUAUCACCGUCUAAAAUACUUCAUAAUUUACUUGUUUAUUGUUUGCCCCUCUCCAAUAGAAUGUAAGCUCCUUGGGGCAGGGACCUUUGUCCUUUGUCUUGUUCACUGCUGUGUCCCAUGUGUAAACUUGUCUGGCACAGAAGAGGUGCUCGAUAAAUAUUUGUUGAGUGAAUGAAUGGUAAAUUUUCUGUUCAUAUUCUUUGACUAUUUUCUAUUGUAAUGUUCAUCUUUUUAGUAUUGGUUUAUAAGAUGUAUAUUUAGCACCUUUUCAUAUAUCACUCUUUGUCACAUAUUAUGCAACUAAUUUGUCAUUUCCAUCAAUUUUUAAAAUACUUUCUUGAUGCUUCAUUUUUAAGCUGUCAGAUUAUUAAUCUUUUCUUUAUGGUCUUGGACUUUAUUGUUGCAUAACCGCUGCCUUCACCAGGAACAUAUAAAUUUUCAAUUAAAUGUUCUUCUGAGAUUUUAUGAUUUCACUUUUUAUAUUAAACUCUUCAUUUUGUCUUCAUGUGUGGUGAGAGGUAAGAACAUAACUUUAAAGCAAAUUAACCAACUAUCCCCAAAUGAAUUAUAAAUAAAUUAAUCAUUUUCCAAUAAAAAAAAAAAAAAA